GAAUACGUGCAUCACAGCCAGCAAUUUCAGACUGUGGAACGUAAAGGCCAGUGAGCUAUCUAUGCCGCCAUGUCAAUACAUCUUCUAUUUGCAUCUUGCUUUUUUUUCAAGCGUCCUUGCGGAUUGGAGACCCGAGACCUGCCAAUCCAGAGGCCUUAGAUGUUCGCUGUUCUUUCUAUGCCCUUUACGGAACAUGGUGUUUGUAUACGGCUGCAAGCACCUGACAGUUUGCUGCGACCCAACUCAGAGAGUGUCUUACUCCUGCCAGUCUAGCGGUUAUUCUUGCGUUCCCUGGUAUCGCUGCGCCCCAGGCUAUUGGAUAUUUGCAAGUGGAUGCGGAAUCGGAUCCGUUUGCUGCAACCUCCGAUCCAUGAACACCUGCUACGCAGCUGGCGGAACCUGUAGACGGAAAUGCCAGCACUCAGUCAGCGCGAGGGGCACAUGCCUCUUUGGUCUUCAGUGCUGCACCGAAGUGCUCUUCUAGCCAGCUUCCACCAGCAAUGUCCACCAUGAAUUUUUACAGAAGAUUGCUGUCAUGACGAGAAAUUGCGUUUCCUCUCUUUUUCUAUUACCACACACCAGAAAUCCAACUACGCCGCACAAUAUGCGGAUGCGAGUUCUUUAGAAGAAAAAAACUCUGUGUUAUAUACGCGGAGGACAUUUUUUUUAAUUUAUUUUACUUUAUAUAAGAAAACCUUAAAGGCCUCUAGGGAGGCCACGGGUAAGGGGGGAUUACGGAAGCCUGUUUCAAGGCAAUAAAAAAGGGCAUCAGCGUAAGAAAAACACUCUUCGUACAAAGAAAUAACACGCAGCGUCAAGUUGAUUUGAAUUGAACGUCAAAUUGAAGUGAACUAAAUAUUAAACAAGAGCAAAUA
Molecule: long non-coding RNA, 875 nt
Organism: Dermacentor andersoni
Lineage: Eukaryota; Metazoa; Arthropoda; Arachnida; Ixodida; Ixodidae
Source: RefSeq, a predicted model, not a curated record